AAACAUAGUCGUGAUUCAUGUCAAAAUAGACUAUAGUGUGAUAAGUGUAAUUGUUGUACCCUGUGUAAAUCUAAAACAGUUUGUGACCACUAUAACCUGUAUCACAAUUGUAAUGAACAGGCGGAUGCGCUUCUCCUUUAAGACAAUGAAACCACUUCUUAGAAAACUCCCCCUUCCCCUGAGGCAAUCGCUACUUAGAAAAGCGCGCCAAGAAGACAAAGACCCUGAGACUCUCAAAAGCGCGCCAAAGGCGAGCCAAUAGGAGGAGAAGGUGUACCCUAGUAACACAGACGACCCAAUGGGGAAAGAGCAGGAUGCUUAUCCGGCGAGAAGAGAUUGGUCACGAUGCUGGUAUAAGAGACGCUGUUCAGAACUCCGGGUGGGUGCGUGUGCUGGGGCUGAGUUCUCUGCGCACCGGGGGUUGUUUUUGCUUAUUGUUUCUCAACCUAAAUCGAUUGAACUCAAAAUAAAAAUGUUUUAAUUGUUAUCGUUUAUAACAAUUUGGUGACCCCGACGUGAUCUCGCUGUGCUUUCCUGGACUGUGGCUCUCCGAGGGGCGCCCCACAGGUUGUGGCUCGGGAGUAGCAGUCUGGGUCAGUCUCCGGAGAUCAACGAACAAAAGAGAAACAAUAACCAAAAGGGAUUGGAGCUCCCAGGAGAAAACUGCAGUAAAAAGGGCCCGUAAUUCUGGUGCACGAAGAUCCGAACGAAGACGACGGAGUCAAAGGCGAUAAGGACGGCUGAAAAGGGGUGGACACAUGCUUCAAGGGUAAAGGGACCAAUAAAGGAAUGGAGAGUCGUAACUGAACCUGGGGAUACCAAACUUACCUUUAAAAGAACUUGAUGUAACGGCUGGGGAAAUUCAUAUUGACUUCCCUAAAAGGGGACUGUAAAUUCAACUCUAAUUGAAUUUACAAAAAUUUAAAGUGCUAGAGGACCAAUUUAUCUUUAGUAGCUGAUGGAACCCACUUUUUCCCCAAUUUUCCCAGACCUCUGCGAAAGGCACUCUGUAGUAAAGACUGGAGGGAAUCGGUGCUGCAGCUGACAAGGUCUGCCAAGGGCUGCAACCCCUGGGGGGGUGACCCCUGGGCAUUAUGAUGCUGAAUGGACCUCUCUUGAUAUGGGUCCUGAUUGGAACCCUGUGGAAAGUUGUGGACACCCUUUUUACUUCCAACUUUGAUUUGAAAACAGGGAUGGAUAAAGAAAGGAGAAGAUAAAGAACAUAGGUUGUUAUUUAGCUUGUUUUAUCAUGAGAUGGAAACAUUUGAGUCAAAUGUGAAGUUCCCACAGUUGCUAAAAAUCUGUUUGUAAAACUUGUCAAAAAUAUAACAGAGUAACUAGUUA
Falco peregrinus (peregrine falcon) is the source of this 1344-nucleotide long non-coding RNA. RefSeq lists it as uncharacterized. Lineage: Eukaryota; Metazoa; Chordata; Aves; Falconiformes; Falconidae. The transcript has 2 exons. The record is from RefSeq and is a predicted model, not a curated record.